This 5440-nucleotide long non-coding RNA is filed under the name Mustela putorius furo (domestic ferret). RNAcentral describes it as "lncRNA (ENSMPUG00000025080.1)". The record is from RNAcentral. Lineage: Eukaryota; Metazoa; Chordata; Mammalia; Carnivora; Mustelidae.
GUUUACUAUAUGGAUAUUCUCCAGAAGACUUCCACUUCCACCUAUGACAGAGGACCCGCUACCUGACUCACCUGCCUGUCUCAACCAUAAAGCUGGCAGAUGUGGGACAAUGUGCAGCACAAAACAGUGGUCCUGGAGAGAAGGGCAACUCACGAGGAAGUCAGCUUGUGAAGGCCUCGGUGCCUGCUUGAGGACAGUACUCUGAUGACCGCAACAUAACGAGCUAGAUUCCAAGCACGCCACUGUGGUCUGACUCAGCUGAAGAGGCAGAGUUCAGGGCCAUCAGUGGCGGGAAUCUGCCAGGUAGGGCCACAGGGGGAAGGAAGCUGCACAGAGGAGCCCGAGCUUCUCUGGGGAGAAGCCUGUGUGCGGACAGGGUUGAGCUGCUCAUAUUAGUACCAGUGUACCUGAGGAAGACCAGAGAGUAUUGACCACAAGGUCGAGAGCCAACAGACCUACCAGAGGUGGAGCCCGGCUGCGGGGGUGAGGCCAGCCCAGCCAGAGUGGAGACCUUGCUGGUACCUCAGUAAUACUCCAGACAUCCAAUCAAGACACCAGAAAGACGCAUCUUAGAAGAAAAGAUCUUACCCUAGAAUAAGAGCUACGAAAAACACCCUUCCGAUGAGGGUAAAACCUAUAGUCCGUCAACGAAACCUGAGAGAAUUGCCAGAAGAUCUGUACUAUAGGAAAUGCUAAUGAACUUGAGGCUGAAGGGAACUGCUAGAUAGAAAUUUGGAUCUACAGGAAGAAAUGAAAAAGUACUGGAAAUGAUAAUUGCCUUAAAAGGCAACUGAAUGUUUACAUCAGAAUAGGAGCAGGUAAAAGGGAUUAUACUACUGUAAAACCGCGUUACUUCUGAAGUGGUGUGAAAUGUCGAGUUGGAUGUUAUUGUGGCUGAAGGACAUAAAAACAUCUGGCCCCACACAGGCCAUUCGUUUAAGAAGAUUUCUGGAGUCUUCCUAUUUCAAAGCGGCAGAAAAAACAAAAUCCCAGCACAGGUUCCGUUUUGGACUUCUUCACCAAUCAUCUACUCCUGGAAUACCUCAAACACUUCCAAAACAUGCCACAGAGAUGACUUCUAAACAGCUGCCCUUGAGGAUCUGCCCCCACUUCCGUGUCCACACCGUACUUCCCCCCGGCUGACCUGAGCUAACGACUGGGCAUGCGGGCAUGUUAUGGCUGGCCCACUCCUGCAAGACACAGGACUCCUGUGAUGGGCCUCGUUGAUGGAUGUCUCACCGCUGACCCCGCUGAAACGUCCCUAGAACACCGUAUUGCAACACUGCACUUGCUCGACCCUCUCCACUCCUCCUUCCCUCUCCUCCACAGGGUGUGAUAAUACACUGUGAUCUCAUGCUUCCCCCACUUCUAUGUUUCCCCCCCUUCCCCUCACAGGCCUUUCUCCCAAUAAAUGUCUUGCACAUGCCUUCUGCUUCUCAGAUGACAUGAACAGACACAAGUAGUACUAAAGAAUGGUCCAUGAAAACAGGUGGUGUGAGGCAGGGAUUUGAAACAGACUCAUUACCCAGCACGAAAGGAGAACAUCAUCCGGAAAGGAAGGUCACUGGUACAAACGAUGUGGUUUACACUGAAAACCUGCUUUUCCUUCUGGAAAUGUGGAUUUGGAAUGUGCUAGGAAGAGGCUGCCUACUCAACCAGUCCCCAAGAAAAACUCUGGGAACUGAGGCUCUAUAAAUGAGUGUCUGUGGUGGACAUUAUCUCACGUGUGCUGUCACAAACUGCCGCUAAAGGAACUGUGUCCUGUUGAGACCACACUAGGAGAGGUUUCUUAGGAACCUGUGCCUGGUUUCCCUCAGGAUUCGCUGCAUGCACUCCAUUCCCCUUGCUGGUUUUCUUUGAAUUCUCUUGUAAUAAAUUGUGAGUAUGACUCUGUGAGUUCUCUAAAUCCUCCCAGUCAAUCAGUGGACUUAAGGUGAUCCUGGGGACCCCUAACACAGGAUCAAAUCCACACUGGGACUGUAGUCUGACAGCUGUCCCCACUUCCUCUGGCUCGUGCCCCUUUCUCCCUCACAGGUGUUUCCCCAAAUAAAUCUCUAGCUCACCUAAAUCUCAUUUUAGCAUUUGCUUCUGGGAUGACCUAAAUCUAAUGUGCCAAUGAAUAUUACUGAAUAUUCUCCUAACACCUUAUAACAACUGAAACUACAUUCUCUAUCUUGCCAAAGAAAUCCCCAUCAACUCAGUCACUCAAAUAGAAAAUCAUUCUCACUUCCUCCAGGUUUACUCACGAUUAUUACCCCACAUGCUCCAUUCUGAACCCCUUCAUCUUUAGACUACUAAGUAAGACCUCCCAUUGGCUCCCAUUUCUAGUUUAAAGCCCUUUGCUGACCGCUUACUGCUUACAGAUAAGAAAUGGGUGCCUUUGGUCCCGAAUCUACAGCCAGCACACCCAGCCAGACCCUCUCUCUCCUUCUACGACAUAACUCCAGUCACAUCUAAUUCCCAGCCCACUUCUGAUCAUCACUCCUUGGUAUUUUAUAUUCUUGCUGUCUCAAAUACCCUUUCUAUUAUUUAUAAGCAACACGAAUUUCUAUUUGUGCUUUGAAAUACAGCUCAAACACAGUAACUAGUGAAGCUGCUGCAUUGGACUGACUCUCCCCACAGACUCCCAUAGCACACUGAUAUAAUCUGGCCUUAUGUCACACUGUUUUUAUAGUUCUAUCUCCCUUCAAAAAUACAAACCAUAUUUUUAUUCUAAACUUGAUACUUAAUACAUUACUGAUGAAAUAUUCAUAACAUUCAUAAGGUUGACUCUCUUAUAUAAACAAGCCAAGAGGUAUAUGUAUCCCAAGGAAGCAUGAGUAGAAGAGCCAGACUUUAUUCUAUCAGGAACCAGCUCAUGGAUCACACGUUGCAAGGAAAAAAAAAUUUUAACCUAAUAUUCUUCUAAGAAAAGCCUAUUAAAUAUGUAUUCUAAGGAUUAAUAUUGAGGGCAAAGUAUUACAGGGCGCCUGGGUAGCUCAUUUGCUUAAGCGGCUGACUCUUGAUUUUGGCUCAGUUCAUGAUCUCAGGGUCAUGAGACUGAGCCCUGCAUCAGCCUCCACGCUCAGCUCAGAGUCUGCUUGUCCCUCUCCCUCACCCUCUAUCCCCCCCCCACUUGCAUGCAUGUACACACACACACGUUUUCUCUCUCUCUAAAAAUGAAUGGGUAAAUAAAAUGUUAAAAAAAAAUCUUUAAUUACUUCUAAAAAAAAAGGAUUAAAUUUAUGUUGUACUUAAAAUGAUAAGAGCUUCCAGGGAAGAGUAGGAGAACCCUAAGGCCAUCUCAUCCCAUGGACAUGACUAGAUAACACUCAUAUCAGUGUAAAUAACCCAGAAAAUGAUAAAAAACUGGAAGAACAAACUCCAUUCACAGCUAAAUGUAGAGAAGAUGCCAUAUCAAAGAGGGCAGGAAGGGUGGAGACUCAGUCAGAGGCUAAAUGGAACCACAGGACUGUCUGCUGGAGGAAGGGAUGCUGCGGGCAUGGAGUAGAGAGAAACAGACCCUCACUCUGAGGAGCCCAUACAGGAAAGAUGAAUCCUCAUAACAUUUGGCUUUGAAAACCACAGGGGCUGAAUUCUGCAAGUUCUUAUAAUCAGAAGGACUUAAAACCUGGAACUUUAAAAAUAAGCAGGCUCAGGUCUGGGAAAGCCUGGAGAGAGAGAGGAAACUGAGUCCCUGUUCUUAGUGAGCACAAGAGACAGCCCUCUGGGAUACAGCAGAGAAGCAGCAGUUUGAAAAUCGCCUGGGACAUAGGGGAGGGAGGUCUGUUUACUAACCUCAAAGCCUGUAUUGGAGGGGCAAGGAUCUUUGGGAGACUUCUCCAAGAACAAAAGACCUGGCAGCCACUAUUUCUGUCCCCUGCCCCCCAGUCUAGACUCAAGGACACUGCGAGGAACAGCACAACACUGACACCUUCUAACUAACUUGCCAACAGUAUACCUGCUCCCAUGUUUUCCUGCAGACCCAUCGCCUCCAGUCAGGAUUCCAACUUGCCUCCAAUAGCAAACCUAUUCACAUCCUGAUAACCACACACAUCCCAGCCCAGUGCUCUCCUGUGGACUUGGCUCCUCCAAUACGCUCUUGGCCAGAGACCACUGAAGCCGUGCAACAAGCUUGGUGUGUGCAAGCGGCUCCAACAGGAGCCAGCAGCACUCCAAAGUGACUCCUGCUCCAGGGAGAGAGAACCACACACAGUGAUCAGACUGCAGCCCCAGUGGUGGGGUAGAGGCAGACAGGGGAUCUGAUUAUAGGACCUGCCCACCAACAAAAUCUUCUCUGGGGACAACAAAAGGAAAGUGCCCUGCACUUUGGUGCUCCUGCAUCUCUCGCAAACACUUGGUCUGACUCAACUCAAGCCCAAGGGGACCCCAGACUGGCCCACUAACAACCCAGGGACCACACCCUGUCCACAACAGGUAAAGAAAGACAUUAUAGAUAACUGGACUGAAGGAAAAAGUGGCUCAGCCACAACAUCAGGGCACGUGCAACACACAGAGGAGAUGCCCCUGAAGCACCAGGUGCUGGUGAUCAGGGCCACUGCACUGCAGGGCAUGACAACACGUUGUCUUCAGAAAGCAAGGCGGGAGAUAGAGCUGACUUCCCUAACACAGAAAAACAGUUACAGAGAGUUAGACAAAAUGAGGACACAGAGGAAUAUGUCUCAAAUGAAAGAACAGAACAGAGUCACAGGAAGAAACUUAUGUGAAAUGGACAUAGUAAUAUGACUGAAAGAGAACUUAAAAUAGUGGUCAAAAAGAUGCUCUCUGAAAAAAGAGUGAAGGACAUCAGCAAGACCCUUAACAAAGAGAUGGAAAACAUAGAACCAAUCAGAGAUGAAUAACCCAAUAAAUGAAAUUAAAAACACAGCAGAUGGAAAGAAUAGUAGACUAGAGGACAUAGAAAAAUGGAUCAACAACUUGGAGGACAGAAUAAUGGAAAGCAGUCAAGUUGAACAGUAAGAGAAAAAAAAGUAAUACAAAAUAAAAACAGUUUUCGGGCCUCAGCAACACCAUCAAGUGUAGUAACAUUUGCAUUAUAAGGAUCCCAGAAGGAGAAGACAGAGAAAAGGGAGCAGAAAAUUUACUUCGACAAAAUAGUAUCUAAAAACUUCCCAAUGCUGGAGAGGGAAACAAAUUCAUAUCCAGUAGGCACAGAAAUCCCCCAACAAAAUCAUCUCAAGGAGGUCCACACCAAGACACAUAGUAAUUAAGAUAGCAAAAAGUAGUGAUAAAGAGAAUUUUUAAAGCAGCAAGAGAAAAGAAAAUAGUUACAUACAAGGAAAACCUCAUAAGGCAAUCAUAUGAUUUUUCAGCAGAAACAGGGCAGGUCAGAAAAAAGUGCAAUGAUGUAUUCAAAGGGCUGAAAGGAAAAAAAAACCCUGCAGCCAAGAAUACUCCAUUCAGCAAGGCUAUCAUUCAGAAUAGGAGAGAUAAAGAGUUA